Molecule: microRNA precursor, 87 nt
Filed under: Triticum aestivum (bread wheat)
Lineage: Eukaryota; Viridiplantae; Streptophyta; Magnoliopsida; Poales; Poaceae
Description: MIR528 microRNA precursor family
Rfam family: MIR528 microRNA precursor family
Source: Rfam by way of RNAcentral
GUGGAAGGGGCAUGCAGAGGAGCGGCCAUGGCCCAUGAUGGGAGCUUUAUUUGCCUCUCGCUCUCUCCUGUGCCUGCCUCUUCCAUU